Long non-coding RNA from Mustela erminea (ermine), 291 nucleotides. RefSeq lists it as uncharacterized. The record is from RefSeq and is a predicted model, not a curated record. The transcript is spliced from 4 exons. NCBI's taxonomy places the organism in Eukaryota, Metazoa, Chordata, Mammalia, Carnivora, Mustelidae.
UAGGGCAGGUGGCCCGGGGAAGAGCCUGCUGGGGGCUGGCGGGUGGGGCUAUCCCACUACAGCCGAAGCCAGGAUUACCUACUGAGAAGUAGAAGCCUCACUGUCUUGAAGUUCAUUCCCCUUUCUUCUCUGAAAUGGACGCAUUAAGAUGUCAUGAGAUACCCUCACUUCAUAGCACAACCUCUGGAACCUGGGCUGCUGUGUGGCACAGCUCUGGAACCUUCUGCUACCCACCACCAAGAUGGAACCCAAGUAUUAUAGUCUCUUGACAUUUCUUGUGAACUUUCCAAG